GCCGCAGCAAAGAAAAAGGUACAGGUUGGAAGAGACCUUUAGAACAGCUGGUCCCUAGGCCGACCGGGUGUCCGCACUAAGUUUGGCAUCAAUAUGAUGUCCUCCUGGGAGCGGGGGGCCACCAAGUUGCCUAAGGAUGGCUGAACUGGCCCAGGUCAGAAAGGGAGUGGGUCAGAACUCCCGCAUCGACUGGUAGUGGGACUAUGCCUGAUCUUGGUUCUUAAAAGUAAAAAUAAAGAACAGCAGCUGCUCUCU
This 255-nucleotide small RNA is filed under the name Gorilla gorilla gorilla (western lowland gorilla). RNAcentral's name for it is "Metazoan signal recognition particle RNA (ENSGGOG00000038057.1)". The stretch from base 55 to 217 matches the Rfam family "Metazoan signal recognition particle RNA", at positions 93 to 255 of the family's 299-position model. From Rfam's summary of the family: The signal recognition particle (SRP) is a universally conserved ribonucleoprotein. The record is from RNAcentral. Lineage: Eukaryota; Metazoa; Chordata; Mammalia; Primates; Hominidae.